Molecule: long non-coding RNA, 1925 nt
Organism: Fundulus heteroclitus (mummichog)
Lineage: Eukaryota; Metazoa; Chordata; Actinopteri; Cyprinodontiformes; Fundulidae
Exons: 3
Source: RefSeq, a predicted model, not a curated record
CCAUUUAUUGACUGUUCUCACAGUUAAAAGAAUGUUAGGUAUGUUAGGGAAUAGUUUGUUCAACGGCUUCGCGUUAGAAGAGAACAACAACACAAGUGUUACGUCUGUAGAGUUGAUAUGACGUUAGAGUCAAAAGAUGGUGCGCUUUGAUUAACAAACAUGAUGCAGCAGAGCUGUCUAAAGGUAGGGAGAGAGAGAGAGAGAGAUAAAAGGCUUGUCUCAUUAUGUCUUGGUUGUUUGUUCCCUUCUUCUCGCUUUCUGGGAAUUCUUGAUCGGUACUGAGAAGAGUUAUCUUCUUACAAACAUGGAGUCAGAUUAUUCAGUCAAUUGGUUGUUUGAGUUUCUGUGGAUCUGCAGGAAUUAUCCACAAGCAGCCUUUUGAAGGACAGCUUUUACCACGUUGCAUAACUACAAGAACAAAGUCUAAGAUGAACAGUUACUGCUGAAGCACCAGCGCCUUUCAUGGGAGGAAAUUGCAAAAGGCUUCUAACUGUGCAUGACGCACUGUGUUUCCCAGCCCCGCUCAGAGGGGGCUGAACAGGAAGGAGUCGUUUCCAGUGCCAUGCCCAGGCCUUUUCCUGCUGAUUCUGGGAUUUUGGCAGUGAAACCGUCCAACUUCCAGUCCUCAGCUUUGUGCGGUCAGCUAUAAAGGACCCGGCGAUCACACCUGCCAGCGUCCUACGGGAUGUUUCACGGGGAUCGAAAUAUGGAAGUUUACACCCACUUUUAUCACCAUUUUUUAUUGUGGGCUUACCCAGAAUGGAACAAAGGAUUGAAAUACUUAAAAAAAAGACAAUGUUUUUAGUUGUUUGUUUUUUUUGUAGAGUAAACUGAAGGUAAUGCUGUGUUUUAAGAGAAUAAAGGCCCAUUAUCACUCACACGGAGGAAGGAAAAUCAUUAAAGAGUAAAGACUGCUAUCCUACGCACAUAUGCACAUCUCUGUAUAUUUCAUCUGAGAAGGACAUUCUUCAAUGCCACAUCACCAUGAAAGGCACAAACAAGCCCUGACUAAAUAGACAGUCUCCCACCACUAAACCCUUAUUAAUUCCUACCCGCUCAUGGAUUAAGUCGUGGAUCCAGACAGCUAAACACCCUGGAUGUGUCUGGCAAAAGCUGCUCAGCCAUUCACAACGCUCUAUGACAGGGCACUACACAUGACCUUCCUCCACAGCCUCCUGUAGGGGGACAUUUGCAAAACAAGUGCUUAGUUUUUAUCGACACAAGGGGAUGGGGAGAGUGGAACUACAUGUAUCGCUCAAACCCUAGAAGGAGGUGAUGUAACGAGACUGUCAUGGUACAUUGCAUCUUUGUUCAUAUGAGCUUUUAGAAUAUAGUAUGCAGCAUCUUGGAAUAACAUAGAUUGACAAAGUGCAAGGCUGUCGUCUGAUGCAAGAAACAGACAUAUUGGUGUAAUUCUGAAAGCUAUGGCUAAAAUAAAUUGUACUGACAUAUUACAGUUUUAUAAAGAGUCCUGAUUUUUUGUUCUCUCUGGUUUAGCAACACAGCAUUUAAAAUAUGACCAUAGGACUGCUGCAAAGAUGACUCAGAAGUACUUCUCAAGAUUUUACUUUGAUUUGGAUACGAUCAGGGAUUCUACUUAAUAGUAACAUUGUAAGUCUUGCAAAAAAAAAUAUCAAAGGAGUUAAAGAGUAACCUUUUUAUUUCUACCUGGGCAAAUGUGUCUAGUUCAAUCAGUGCAUCUGCAGAUGGACUGCGAGUUGCAUAAAUUCUUUCACACUCAAAAAGUAUUUUGCAAGCUAUUUUAGGGUGUGGGAAAAUUAAAAAACUCUUACACAACUGGGGACAGAUAUUUCAGUCAGUGAGAUGCAGUAAGAUUGCAUUUGGUAAGUCAUUUUGCCACAUAUGCACUUGCACAGAAGGUCAAUGGAUCCAAAGGAAAUCAUACGGUUUUCCUGGAAAGAGUU